Molecule: long non-coding RNA, 1587 nt
Filed under: Nicotiana tabacum (common tobacco)
Lineage: Eukaryota; Viridiplantae; Streptophyta; Magnoliopsida; Solanales; Solanaceae
Description: long non-coding RNA (NTAB_LNC017725)
Source: RNAcentral
CUCUUGAUCCGUCGGGGCUUGUAGCGGUUGCAGUUUGCCAUGGGUUCGCUCUGUUCGUGGCAGUUUCAGUCGGGGCUAACAUCUCCGGUGGUCACGUCAACCCUGCCGUUACUUUCGGAUUAGCUCUUGGUGGCCAAAUUACUCUUCUUACUGGCCUCUUCUACUGGAUUGCUCAACUUUUGGGCGCCACUGUUGCCUCUUACCUCCUCAAAGUUGUCACCGGAGGAUUGGUAAGUCCCUAUCUCUCAAACGAAAAUUAAGUUAUAUACAUUGUCUGGUAUAAUUUUUUUUAUAUUGUCGGUAUAAUUUAAGUUGUUACAUGCUAUGUCUUACUAAUUAACCAUGUAUAUAAUUAGUGUAGACACUAACUUACAAUUGGAUUUUUAUGUAUUCUAAUAAUAUAAAUAUUUUUUACAUCAUAAAUACAUUAAAUUUUAUCGAGCUUUCUUAUGAAAGUGGAAGCAUCCUUCCUAGACUUCUCAAUCUACAUAAAACAAUUUAAUUCCCAUGGCUAUACCUGGGAGCGGAUUCAGGAUUUAAAAGUUGGAUUCAACCAAAAUUUGUUUUGUAUAUAAGAUGUCCAUUACGUAAUAUAUCACUAUUUUUUAAAGACAUAUAUAUGUAUGUAUAAAAAAUUUGUCAAACUUUAUAGGUGUUGGUGACCCGUCUCGGUCUAACAUAGGUCCGCCUCUGGCUAUACCAAAGGCGAAUCUAGGAUUAAAGCCGGUACUUUCAGAAUGAGCAUGAUCUUAUUAUAUUUUUAUACAUUUUAUUUUAUAUUCUUGCAUAUGUUUAUAUAGUUCCAGCUGAAAAUAGUAAAUCUAUAUAUAGAACUGAUUCUAGAUCUGCCUCUAACUAUAAUUCAGUUUUUAGCCAUAUUUUGACAUCUAACUUAUUUUCUUUUGUUUUUUUCCUUAGGCUGUUCCAAUCCACAGUGUAGCAGCUGGAGUAGGAGCUGUUGAAGGAGUAGUGAUGGAAAUUAUCAUCACAUUUGCAUUGGUUUACACAGUGUACGCCACAGCAGCUGACCCAAAGAAGGGUUCAUUGGGCACCAUUGCACCCAUUGCCAUUGGUUUCAUUGUUGGUGCCAACAUCUUGGCUGCUGGCCCGUUCUCUGGUGGUUCAAUGAACCCAGCUCGGUCCUUUGGACCUGCAGUGGCUAGUGGUAACUUCGCCGGUCACUGGAUUUACUGGGUUGGACCCCUUGUUGGUGGUGGUUUGGCUGGUCUUAUUUACAGUAAUGUGUUCAUGAACCAUGACCAUGCCCCUCUAUCCACCGAUUUUUAAGUUUUAAUUAAUUUCUAUGUUGUUAGAAUUUGAUUAUUGUGUUUGAAAAUGUAUUUUGCAUUAUUUUCUUUGUAAUAAAAGGAAGAAAAAAGCAAUAUUUUGCUCUUUCUUUCUUUUGUAGUAGUACCUUUUGUUUUUUGUUUUUUGUUUUUUGUCUCUUUGUAGCUUUUGGUUUGCAGCUGUACACAUUUGGUGACAUGUUGUUGUCGAAUUGAUUUUAUGGAUUUGGUGAGAUCGAAGGGCCAUCAUAUUCAUUGAUGUUGUUGUGCUUUUAUCUUUUUGAAAUUUCAUUGUUCCCCU